Lathyrus oleraceus (garden pea) is the source of this 479-nucleotide long non-coding RNA. RefSeq lists it as uncharacterized. The transcript has 4 exons. The record is from RefSeq and is a predicted model, not a curated record. NCBI's taxonomy places the organism in Eukaryota, Viridiplantae, Streptophyta, Magnoliopsida, Fabales, Fabaceae.
UUCGAAUCCAGGUUUCAUGAGAGGACCAAACAUUGUCAGGGAGAAGAUAGAAUCAAACGACAUUGUCACAAGUUUUGUCAACUCUAAUGAUCAAUUGGCAUGUGUUUACAAAAUCCCUACGAGAUCCUAAAACUAAUUAUAUAUGUGGACGGUAUGUACGCUCUUGUCAUGAAUAGAUCAAAAUGAGUCUUGAGGUCAUCACAGGGAGAGCCAGCCGUUGAGGUUACAAAUGAAGGUGUUGAUGCUGCAGGGCAUACAAUUGGUACAUCUUUGGAGGUCGUGUUCAAACUUAGGAAGGUUCUCAACCCCAAGAGUGUGAUCAAACCAACAUCACUAGCUAAAGAUUAUUUUGAGAAUAACAUCUAUCGAAUAAAUUUCAGACGAAAGAGCUUGGUAAACUCCUAUAUUUUUUGGGUAUUGAGGUAGUUCAAUCUAAAGAUUAUAUGGUUAUUUCUCCGGGGAAAUAUGCUAUGGAUACU